This 81-nucleotide transfer RNA is filed under the name Robiginitomaculum sp. RNAcentral's name for it is "tRNA-Arg". The stretch from base 14 to 78 matches the Rfam family "tRNA". From Rfam's summary of the family: Transfer RNA (tRNA) molecules are approximately 80 nucleotides in length. Their secondary structure includes four short double-helical elements and three loops (D, anti-codon, and T loops). The record is from RNAcentral. Lineage: Bacteria; Pseudomonadati; Pseudomonadota; Alphaproteobacteria; Maricaulales; Robiginitomaculaceae.
GAAUAAAUACAACAACUUAGAAUAUGGUCAAUCUGCCUUCUAAGCAGGGGGUUGUAGGUUCGAGUCCUACCUAAAUCGCCA